This is a long non-coding RNA of Epinephelus fuscoguttatus (brown-marbled grouper), 2148 nucleotides long. RefSeq lists it as uncharacterized. NCBI's taxonomy places the organism in Eukaryota, Metazoa, Chordata, Actinopteri, Perciformes, Serranidae. The record is from RefSeq and is a predicted model, not a curated record. The transcript has 2 exons.
AAUUUAAGUCGCCACCUGGCAGAUUUGGUGUCUUGCACACAGCAUUUACAGCCUAACUGUAUUGCUGUCACAGAAACGUGGCUCACUGCACAGUCCUCGUUAGACAGUGUCCAAAUUGAUGGAUAUGCUUUCCACAGUCGUCCGCGAGGUUUGUGUUACAGCAGCAGUAACCCCAAAUUGUUAGAGCUCCAGGAUCUAGAACAUGGUGGAGUUGGUUUGUACAGUGUAGGCAAUUUGGACUGUAGCAUCCUGCAGGCACCCGAUUUGAAUCUGGAGUGUUUGGUGUGCCUGUGUAGCAAAUUUAACAUUGUGAUGGCAGUAAUUUAUCGUCCACCAUGUUAUCCAAAGUCUUUAUUUAAACAAAAUCUGGGGAAAUUACUUGAUUGGUUGAAUCCAAUUAGUGACACAGUUGUAGUGAUGGGAGAUUUUAAUGAGAAUGUUUUGAAAAAAUCAUCAAUUUGUAAAUUCAUGGGGCAAAAAGGAUUUCAUCAGCAUGUAACACAGGAGACAACAGAAAAGGGGACGUUAAUUGAUCACGUUUAUGUUAAAACAGCACAGUAUGAUGUGGAAUGUGCAGUGAUGCCCACGUACUUCAGUGAUCAUGAAGGUAUUCUGUGUAGUUUUAGUGUGAGAGAUGAUCAGGGUGAGCUAGAGGACUUAGACAGGUUGUUUGGGGACUUUGAGGAUGUAGAGGUGGAUGCAUAGUGUUUAGAUGUGGAUUAGAUCAGGUUGGUUUGUGUAGCUUCAUGUGACUCAUACAAAGUCCCAGUGUAAAUGCAGUGGUGUUAUUAUUGUUGUCAUUGUGUUUAUCUGUAGAGUUUUCAGAGGAAACUGACUUGUAGUUUGUUGUUGUGUUGAAAUUGUGUAGGUUUGCGUGCACGUGAAGUUGUGUUAGUGUAGAGUCUGUCCCACUCCAUUGUGUGAAGAUUGUGUAUUGUAGGGAGAUUUGAGUGUAUUGUGUGGAAAUGUUUUUAGUAUGUUGAUAUGAUUAUUGUGUAGAGAUUUUAGGUGAAACCAAUCAUGUAUUACAGGUGGAAUGAGUUGAGUGUUAGCUGUUGUGAAUAGUGUUAGUUAAUUAAUAUAAUCAUGGUUUUUACAGCUGUUAGUGAUUGUAGAUGUGUUGGUGUCUGUCUGCCACAUGUUGGUUGUUGGUCUCUGUUGCGACUGUGAAUGUAUGUAUUUAUGCAUGUUAGAGUUUGUGGUUCUUUCAGUCCUGAUGUGUUCAUAUGCAACUGUUUCAGUCAUGAAAAUAUGAAAAGGUUAAUUUGACUCAAACAAAUACAUCAAUAGAAAAUAGAUGGGCUUGAUGUUGCAUGUUUUCUGUAGCCCUCUAGUGUUCAAAAUUCUGAUCAGUAACUUAGAAAAGAUGCAGCAGUACAAUUAUGAUGUUACAUAUGAACACAAGAGGAAAUGAUUGUAUUUAAUAAGUUAACAGUUAAUAUUAUGGUUGUUGUUAUUAUUUAUUCAUGUAUUUAUUUAUCAGGCUUUACAGGAUACGACAUCCCUCUGUCCUUGGGACCCUCACAGCUGAUCAUGAACACCCCCCCCCCUCCCACACACACACACACACACACACGGAAGAGCAACUGAGGAGGGAUCCCUCUUCCCAGACGGACAGACAGGCAGUAGAUGGCGUACAGAACAGAUCAACAGAUCAGCAUAAUAAACAGUAAUACGUAUGACACAAUGAGACAGAAAGAGAGAAAUACAGAGAGAGAGAGAGAGGCGCAGGAGAAACGGUAAUGACAGCAGCUUACAACAACAUUAAUCAUCUGGCAGGAGCACGGUAGCAACAGUAGCUUUUAAUACAGGAAGUGCAGUCAGUAGUUCAGAUAAGAAAUGGUCAUGUUUGUGUACAUGACCUCACAGCAAAUCUGUUCUGGCACCACAAGGCACAGACUCUUCAUUCUGCAUGUCUUAGCUGCCGAACAGGACACUGCUGCUGCUUGUUGUUGUUGUUGUUGUUGUUGUUUCCACGAAUUCUCCUCCCCCUCGUGUCCCUCCAAUCUUGUGUUUUCUCUCUGUAGUCUUGUGCACUGUAGUCUAUGUGAGGGACAUGAUAAAAGUUCAAAAAGUAAUCCAAUGUCAAUUGUUGUUUGAGAGCAUGGACAGGAAGAGAAUGUAGGACUGUUAAUUGAUCAUUUUUUU